UCCGCCGUAGUGUAAUAGGCAGCACAGGAGAUUUUGGUUCUCUUAGUCCACGUUCGAGUCGUGGCGGCGGAGCCC
Molecule: transfer RNA, 75 nt
Filed under: Parafrankia flexibilis
Lineage: Bacteria; Bacillati; Actinomycetota; Actinomycetes; Frankiales; Frankiaceae
Description: Frankia sp. EI5c tRNA-Gln
Rfam family: tRNA
About the family: Transfer RNA (tRNA) molecules are approximately 80 nucleotides in length. Their secondary structure includes four short double-helical elements and three loops (D, anti-codon, and T loops).
Source: RNAcentral